Molecule: ribosomal RNA, 461 nt
Filed under: uncultured beta proteobacterium
Lineage: Bacteria; Pseudomonadati; Pseudomonadota; Betaproteobacteria
Description: bacterial SSU rRNA
Rfam family: Bacterial small subunit ribosomal RNA
Source: RNAcentral
AGGAAAGCAGGGGAUCGCAAGACCUUGCGCUUUUGGAGCGGCCGAUGUCUGAUUAGCUAGUUGGUGAGGUAAAGGCUUACCAAGGCUUCGAUCAGUAGCUGGUCUGAGAGGACGACCAGCCACACUGGGACUGAGACACGGCCCAGACUCCUACGGGAGGCAGCAGUGGGGAAUUUUGGACAAUGGGGGAAACCCUGAUCCAGCCAUGCCGCGUGAGUGAAGAAGGCCUUCGGGUUGUAAAGCUCUUUCAGCCGGAACGAAACGGUCACGGCUAAUACCUGUGAUCACUGACGGUACCGGAAGAAGAAGCACCGGCUAACUACGUGCCAGCAGCCGCGGUAAUACGUAGGGUGCGAGCGUUAAUCGGAAUUACUAGGCGUAAAGCGUGCGCAGGCGGUUUUGUAAGUCAGAUGUGAAAUCCCCGGGCUCAACCUGGGAACUGCGUUUGAAACUACAAGGCU